UACAGAGUUCCUGCCCUCACGGGUAGAAACCCCACCCUUGUAUAUUAUAUAUUGUUGCUUUGGCGGGCCGCCCUCACAGGCACCGGCUCACGCUGGCUCGCGCCCGCCGAAGGACCCCAAACUCUGAAGUAUAGUGUCGUCUGAGUACUAUUUAAUAGUUAAAACUUUCAACAACGGAUCUCUUGGUUCUGGCAUCGAUGAAGAACGCAGCGAAAUGCGAUAAGUAAUGUGAAUUGCAGAAUUCAGUGAAUCAUCGAAUCUUUGAACGCACAUUGCGCCCCUUGGUAUUCCGAGGGGCAUGCCUGUUCGAGCGUCAUAUUAACCACUCCCGCUUGCGGGGUCUUGGGUUUCGCCUCUGGGCGGGCCUUAAAAUCAGUGGCGGUGCCGUCUGGCUCUAAGCGUAGUAAAUUAUCCUCGCUAUAGGGUCCAGGUGGAUGCUUGCCAACAACCCCCAAAUUUUUUAAGGUUGA
Molecule: ribosomal RNA, 470 nt
Filed under: Hymenoscyphus sp. 1558
Lineage: Eukaryota; Fungi; Ascomycota; Leotiomycetes; Helotiales; Helotiaceae
Description: partial ribosomal RNA
Rfam family: 5.8S ribosomal RNA (bases 163-316)
Source: RNAcentral